GUCCUAGCUUUGGUAGUACAUAUACUGAAAUUGGCAUGAUACAGAGAAGAUUAGCAUGGCCCCUGCUCAAGGAUUACACACAAAUUAAUGAAGUGUACCAUAUUUUU
This is a small nuclear RNA of Erinaceus europaeus (western European hedgehog), 107 nucleotides long. The record is from Ensembl. Lineage: Eukaryota; Metazoa; Chordata; Mammalia; Eulipotyphla; Erinaceidae.